AGGACGAACGCUGGCGGCGUGCUUAACACAUGCAAGUCGAGCGGUGAUCCUCCUUCGGGAGGUGAGCAGCGGCGAACGGGUGAGUAACACGUGGGCAACCUGCCCCUCACACUGGGAUAACCUCGGGAAACCGGGCUAAUACCGGAUAUGACCUUUGAGGGCAUCCUCGAAGGUGUAAAGGAUUCUGGCCAGGGAUGGGCCCGCGGCCUAUCAGCUUGUUGGUGGGUAACGGCCUACCGAAGGCGACGACGGGUA
RNAcentral lists this ribosomal RNA (255 nucleotides) under uncultured bacterium. RNAcentral describes it as "partial small subunit ribosomal RNA". It matches the Rfam family "Bacterial small subunit ribosomal RNA", at positions 26 to 285 of the family's 1533-position model. The record is from RNAcentral.